This 472-nucleotide ribosomal RNA is filed under the name uncultured bacterium. RNAcentral describes it as "bacterial SSU rRNA". It matches the Rfam family "Bacterial small subunit ribosomal RNA", at positions 328 to 793 of the family's 1533-position model. The record is from RNAcentral.
GAAGACCACUCCUACGGGAGGCAGCAGUGGGGAAUAUUGCACAAUGGGCGCAAGCCUGAUGCAGCCAUGCCGCGUGUAUGAAGAAGGCCUUCGGGUUGUAAAGUACUUUCAGCAGUGAGGAAGGUGGGUAUGUUAAUAGCAUACUCAUUUGACGUUAGCUGCAGAAGAAGCACCGGCUAACUCCGUGCCAGCAGCCGCGGUAAUACGGAGGGUGCGAGCGUUAAUCGGAAUUACUGGGCGUAAAGCGCAUGCAGGUGGUUUGUUAAGUCAGAUGUGAAAGCCCGGGGCUCAACCUCGGAAUUGCAUUUGAAACUGGCAAACUAGAGUACUGUAGAGGGGGUAGAAUUUCAGGUGUAGCGGUGAAAUGCGUAGAGAUCUGAAGGAAUACCGGUGGCGAAGGCGGCCCCCUGGACAGAUACUGACACUCAGAUGCGAAAGCGUGGGGAGCAAACAGGAUUAGAUACCCUGGUAG